RNAcentral lists this ribosomal RNA (497 nucleotides) under uncultured bacterium. RNAcentral's name for it is "partial 16S ribosomal RNA". It matches the Rfam family "Bacterial small subunit ribosomal RNA", at positions 28 to 507 of the family's 1533-position model. The record is from RNAcentral.
GAUGAACGCUGGCGGCGUGCCUAAUACAUGCAAGUCGAGCGAACGGACGAGAAGCUUGCUUCUCUGAUGUUAGCGGCGGACGGGUGAGUAACACGUGGAUAACCUACCUAUAAGACUGGGAUAACUUCGGGAAACCGGAGCUAAUAACGGCUAAUAUUUUGAACCGCAUGGUUCAAAAGUGAAAGACGGUCUUGCUGUCACUUAUAGAUGGAUUCGCGCUGCAUUAGCUAGUUGGUAAGGUAACGGCAUACCAAGGCAACGAUGCAUAGCCGACCUGAGAGGGUGAUCAGCCACACUGGAACUGAGACACGGUCCAGACUCCUACGGGAGGCAGCAGUAGGGAAUCUUCGGCAAUGGGCGAAAGCCUGACGGAGCAACGCCGCGUGAGUGAUGAAGGUCUUCGGAUCGUAAAACUCUGUUAUUAGGGAAGAACAUAUGUGUAAGUAACUGUGCACAUCUUGACGGUACCUAAUCAGAAAGCCACGGCUAACUACGUG